This 29-nucleotide non-coding RNA is filed under the name Rattus norvegicus (Norway rat). The record is from RNAcentral. Lineage: Eukaryota; Metazoa; Chordata; Mammalia; Rodentia; Muridae.
UAUAUUCUUCCCUUGAUUCCUUAGAAUGU